This 1228-nucleotide ribosomal RNA is filed under the name Candidatus Vidania fulgoroideorum. RNAcentral's name for it is "bacterial SSU rRNA". It matches the Rfam family "Bacterial small subunit ribosomal RNA", at positions 124 to 1403 of the family's 1533-position model. Lineage: Bacteria; Pseudomonadati; Pseudomonadota; Betaproteobacteria. The record is from RNAcentral.
ACGUAACUGAAAGAAGAGAAUAAAAUAAUGAAAGUUAUUGUAAUACUCUAUAAAUUCUCCUAAUAAAAGGACAAAAAAAAAUUAUCGCUUUUAGAUCGGCUAAUAUCAGAUUAGUUUGUUGGUGAUAUAAAAGAUUACCAAGACAUUUAUCUGUAGCUGUUCUGGAAGGAAAUACAGCCACACUGGGACUGAGACAAGGCCCAGACUUCUACGGAAGGCAGCAGUGAGGAAUUUUGGACAAUGAGCGCAAGCUUGAUCCAGCAAUACCGCGUGUGUGAUGAAGGUUUAAAUACUGUAAAACACUUUUACCAAUGAAUAAAAAAAUUGAAUGUAAUUGGUGAAUAAGUACUGGCUAAUUACGUGCCAGCAGCCGCGGUAAUACGUAUAGUGCAAGCGUUAAUCAGAUUUAUUAGGCGUAAAGAGUAUGUAGGCGGUUUAUUAUGAAAAAUGUUAAAAAAUAAAGCUUAACUUUAUAAUGCAUUUUUUACUAAUAUUCUCGAGUUUAAAAGAGGAGAGUAGAAUUUUACAUGUAACAGUGAAAUGUAUAAAUAUGUAAAAGAAUACCAAAAGCGAAGGCAACUCUCUGGGUUAAAACUGACGCUGAGAUACGAAAGCGUGGGGAGCAAACAGGAUUAGAUACCCUGGUAGUCCACGCCCUAAACAAUGUCAACUAGUUAUUAGUUUUAGUAACGAAGCUAACGCGUUAAGUUGACCGCCUGGGGACUACGAUCGCAAGAUUAAAACUCAAAGGAAUUGACGGGGACCCGCACAAGUGGUGGAUGAUGUGGAUUAAUUCGAUGCAACACGAAAAACCUUACCUACUCUUGACAUGUAUAGAAUCCUAUUUGAAAAAAUACAAGAACUAUACACAGGUGCUGCAUGGCUGUCGUCAGCUCGUGUCGUGAGAUGUUGGAUUAAGUUUCAAAACGAGCGCAACCCUUAUUUUAAGUUGCUAAAGCACUCUUAAAAUACUGCUGGUUUAAAAAACCAGAGGAAGGAAAGGAUGACGUCAAGUCCUCAUGGCCCUUAUGAGUAGGGCUUCACACGUCAUACAAUGAUUGAUACAAAAAGAAGCAAUUUAUUAAAAAAAAAGCAAACCUAUAAAAUCAAUCUCAGUUCGAAUUGUACUCUGAAACUCGGGUACAUGAAGUAGGAAUCACUAGUAAUCGCAGAUCAGAAUGCUGCGGUGAAUAUGUUCUCGGGUCUUGUACACACCGCCCGUCACACC